RNAcentral lists this ribosomal RNA (503 nucleotides) under uncultured bacterium. RNAcentral describes it as "bacterial SSU rRNA". It matches the Rfam family "Bacterial small subunit ribosomal RNA", at positions 36 to 518 of the family's 1533-position model. The record is from RNAcentral.
ACUGGCAGCGUGGAUUAGGCAUGCAAGUCGAACGGGAUCGUCUGGAUAGCAAUAUUCGGGCGUGAGAGUGGCGGAUGGGGAGGAGCACGUGAGCAACCUGCCCUGGAGAUGUGGAAAACCUCUGGAAACGGAGGCUAAUACAGAAUGUGGCGCCCCAUGGCAUCAUGGGAGCGCCGAAGGGGGCCGCAAGGCUCCCGCUCCGGGAUGGGCUCGCGCACCAUCAGCUAGUUGGCGGGUAACGGCCCACCAAGGCCUACGGUUAGCUGGUCUGAGAGGAUGACCAGCCCCACUGGGACUGAGAUACUGCCCAGACUCCUACGGGAGGCUGCAGUCGAGGAUCGUUCGCAAUGGACGGAAGUCUGACGAUGCGACGCUGCGUGGAGGAAUGAAGGCCUUCGGGUCGUAAACUCCUGUCAUGAGGGAAGAGGCGAGGGAAGCUAAUACCUUCUUUAGUUGACUGUACCUCAAGAGGAAGCGACGGCUAACUCUGUGCCAGCCGCAGC